Molecule: transfer RNA, 73 nt
Filed under: Canis lupus familiaris (dog)
Lineage: Eukaryota; Metazoa; Chordata; Mammalia; Carnivora; Canidae
Also listed under: 1 other name
Rfam family: tRNA
About the family: Transfer RNA (tRNA) molecules are approximately 80 nucleotides in length. Their secondary structure includes four short double-helical elements and three loops (D, anti-codon, and T loops).
Source: Rfam by way of RNAcentral
ACCUGGCUGGCUCAAUCAGUAGAGCACAUAACUCUUGAUCUUGGGGCUAUGGGUUCAAGGCCCAUGUUGAGUG